CGAUUAGUCGGUGUUAAUAUACGACCCGACUAGCAGCUUCCGGGAAACCAAAGUUUUUCGUUUCCGGGGGAAGUAUGGUUGCAAAGCUGAAACUUAAAGGAAUUGACGGAAGGGCACCACCAGGAGUGGAGCCUGCGGCUUAAUUUGACUCAACACGGGAAAACUCACCCGGCCCGGACACCGUAAGGAUUGACAGACUGAGAGCUCUUUCUUAAUUCGGUGGGUGGUGGUGCAUGGCCGUUCUUAGUUGGUGGAGCGAUUUGUCUGGUUAAUUCCGAUAACGAACGAGACUCUGGCCUAUUAAAUAGUCGGUAUAUCCAGAAAAGUUUACCGUACUUCUUAGAGGGACAGACGGCGUCUAGCCGCGUGAAAUAGAGCAAUAACAGGUCUGUGAUGCCCUUAGAUGUCCAGGGCUGCACGCGCGCUACACUGGAGGAAUCAGCGUGCUGUAACCAUUGCCGAAAGGCAUUGGUAACCCCUUGAAAAUCCUCCGUGAUCGGGAUCGGGAAUUGCAAUUAUUUCCCUUGAACGAGGAAUUCCUAGUAAGUGUGAGUCAUCAGCUCACGUUGAUUACGUCCCUGCCCUUUGUACACACCGCCCGUCGCUACUACCGAUUGGAUGACUUAAUGAGGUCUUAGGACCGACGUAAAGGAGCUUUCGCG
Molecule: ribosomal RNA, 662 nt
Filed under: uncultured eukaryote
Lineage: Eukaryota
Description: bacterial SSU rRNA
Rfam family: Eukaryotic small subunit ribosomal RNA
Source: RNAcentral